This 828-nucleotide ribosomal RNA is filed under the name Triticum aestivum (bread wheat). Its description in RNAcentral is "partial small subunit ribosomal RNA". The record is from RNAcentral. Lineage: Eukaryota; Viridiplantae; Streptophyta; Magnoliopsida; Poales; Poaceae.
AUGACUGGCCUCCGUGACGAGCCCGCGGCCAGGGAACCCCGGAGAUCCAAGCGUCUCCAGCGGUCCAUGCCCGAGGCGGCGGCCCCUCCUCCGGCACGCCGGACCAGGCGCACCAAGCGCCCGGCUCCUCCGCGCGAGGCCGAGCCCUCCGUUCCCGACGCGAGGGCUGCGCGAUCAUCUUCGCCCCGUUACAACGAUCGGGAAUUGGUGGAUGUGGCUGCGUUGCCUCCUCGUCCCGCACCCCGCGCGGAGGCGGCCCCGGUUCCUCCGCCCGAGCGCGGGGACUCGCCUCGCACCGCCUACGUGCUCCGCAACCGCCGAGUCCCGGAUACCGGCAUCCACAAGCCCACCCCGCCUCCGUGCUACGAGAGAAGGGAAAUUAAGCUGGAUCAGCCACGCUUAUCCAAGAAGCAACUUAAGCGAGCUGAACUUUGGAACGCCCCAGCAUGUGCGCGCAAGGGUUUGGAACGCUACAACGACAUGAAUCAGGGGGAUGGGCAUGAGCUGGUUGACGCAGUGGGCGUCAAAAGCUUUUGCUACUGUGGUCCGUGGCUGCAUGCAAAUUUUCUUGCUAGGCGUAAAGGUGCCAGUAGCAGCUGUGAUGAUCUUGUUCCCAAGUACUUCUUUGCUGAGCUGACAAUCGAUGCAGAUGGUCUCUCGUGCGUUUCAUGCUCCAAGUUUGACUCAGUUGACUGGAAGAACUUUGGCGGAUGUGGAGUGUGCCCGGCAACAUUUGUCCAUCCCGCUGGUGGUGGCUACAUUGGUGCCCGGCCUGAACGACGUCUUCAGCCUGCUCCCACUGGUCUACAGAUAUCAUUUGGUUUCUGA